GACGAACGCNGGCGGCGUGCCUAAUACAUGCAAGUAGAACGCUGAAGGAGGAGCUUGCUUCUCUGGAUGAGUUGCGAACGGGUGAGUAACGCGUAGGUAGCCUGCCUGGUAGCGGGGGAUAACUAUUGGAAACGAUAGCUAAUACCGCAUAAGAGUAGAUGUUGCAUGACAUUUGCUUAAAAGGUGCAAUUGCAUCACUACCAGAUGGACCUGCGUUGUAUUAGCUAGUUGGUGAGGUAACGGCUCACCAAGGCGACGAUACAUAGCCGACCUGAGAGGGUGAUCGGCCACACUGGGACUGAGACACGGCCCAGACUCCUACGGGAGGCAGCAGUAGGGAAUCUUCGGCAAUGGACGGAAGUCUGACCGAGCAACGCCGCGUGAGUGAAGAAGGUUUUCGGAUCGUAAAGCUCUGUUGUAAGAGAAGAACGAGUGUGAGAGUGGAAAGUUCACACNGNGACGGUNUCUNCC
Molecule: ribosomal RNA, 471 nt
Filed under: uncultured bacterium
Lineage: Bacteria
Description: bacterial SSU rRNA
Rfam family: Bacterial small subunit ribosomal RNA
Source: RNAcentral